RNAcentral lists this ribosomal RNA (996 nucleotides) under Microbacterium foliorum. RNAcentral's name for it is "bacterial SSU rRNA". It matches the Rfam family "Bacterial small subunit ribosomal RNA", at positions 30 to 1042 of the family's 1533-position model. The record is from RNAcentral. Lineage: Bacteria; Bacillati; Actinomycetota; Actinomycetes; Micrococcales; Microbacteriaceae.
GGGGGGGUGGCGGGGUGCUUACCAUGCAAGUCGAACGGUGAACACGGAGCUUGCUCUGUGGGAUCAGUGGCGAACGGGUGAGUAACACGUGAGCAACCUACCCCUGACUCUGGGAUAAGCGCUGGAAACGGCGUCUAAUACUGGAUACGAGUGGCGACCGCAUGGUCAGCUACUGGAAAGAUUUAUUGGUUGGGGAUGGGCUCGCGGCCUAUCAGCUUGUUGGUGAGGUAAUGGCUCACCAAGGCGUCGACGGGUAGCCGGCCUGAGAGGGUGACCGGCCACACUGGGACUGAGACACGGCCCAGACUCCUACGGGAGGCAGCAGUGGGGAAUAUUGCACAAUGGGCGCAAGCCUGAUGCAGCAACGCCGCGUGAGGGAUGACGGCCUUCGGGUUGUAAACCUCUUUUAGCAGGGAAGAAGCGAAAGUGACGGUACCUGCAGAAAAAGCGCCGGCUAACUACGUGCCAGCAGCCGCGGUAAUACGUAGGGCGCAAGCGUUAUCCGGAAUUAUUGGGCGUAAAGAGCUCGUAGGCGGUUUGUCGCGUCUGCUGUGAAAUCCGGAGGCUCAACCUCCGGCCUGCAGUGGGUACGGGCAGACUAGAGUGCGGUAGGGGAGAUUGGAAUUCCUGGUGUAGCGGUGGAAUGCGCAGAUAUCAGGAGGAACACCGAUGGCGAAGGCAGAUCUCUGGGCCGUAACUGACGCUGAGGAGCGAAAGGGUGGGGAGCAAACAGGCUUAGAUACCCUGGUAGUCCACCCCGUAAACGUUGGGAACUAGUUGUGGGGUCCAUUCCACGGAUUCCGUGACGCAGCUAACGCAUUAAGUUCCCCGCCUGGGGAGUACGGCCGCAAGGCUAAAACUCAAAGGAAUUGACGGGGACCCGCACAAGCGGCGGAGCAUGCGGAUUAAUUCGAUGCAACGCGAAGAACCUUACCAAGGCUUGACAAUACGAGAACGGGCCAAAAUGGUCACUCUUUGGAACUCGUAACAGGUGGG